RNAcentral lists this ribosomal RNA (301 nucleotides) under uncultured bacterium. Its description in RNAcentral is "partial 16S ribosomal RNA". It matches the Rfam family "Bacterial small subunit ribosomal RNA", at positions 509 to 809 of the family's 1533-position model. The record is from RNAcentral.
CAGCAGCCGCGGUAAUACGGAGGGGGCUAGCGUUGUUCGGAAUUACUGGGCGUAAAGCGUACGUAGGCGGCUUUGUAAGUUAGAGGUGAAAGCCUGGUGCUCAACACCAGAACUGCCUUUAAGACUGCAUCGCUUGAACGUCGGAGAGGUAAGUGGAAUUCCGAGUGUAGAGGUGAAAUUCGUAGAUAUUCGGAAGAACACCAGUGGCGAAGGCGGCUCACUGGACGACUGUUGACGCCGAGGUACGAAAGCGUGGGGAGCAAACUGGAUUAGAUACCCCAGUAGUCCCUGUCUCUUAUAA